Molecule: small nucleolar RNA, 68 nt
Organism: Talpa occidentalis (Iberian mole)
Lineage: Eukaryota; Metazoa; Chordata; Mammalia; Eulipotyphla; Talpidae
Product: small nucleolar RNA SNORD52
Exons: 1
Source: RefSeq, a predicted model, not a curated record
GGGAAUGAUGAUUUCUCAGACUAGAGUCUCUGACACUGGUCUUGAUGUCAAAACUUAAGUUCUGACUU